Molecule: ribosomal RNA, 616 nt
Filed under: uncultured bacterium
Lineage: Bacteria
Description: bacterial SSU rRNA
Rfam family: Bacterial small subunit ribosomal RNA
Source: RNAcentral
CCGCAUAAGCGCACGAGGAGACAUCUCCUAGUGUGAAAAACUCCGGUGGUACAGGAUGGGCCCGCGUCUGAUUAGCUGGUUGGCAGGGUAACGGCCUACCAAGGCAACGAUCAGUAGCCGGUCUGAGAGGAUGAACGGCCACAUUGGAACUGAGACACGGUCCAAACUCCUACGGGAGGCAGCAGUGGGGAAUAUUGCACAAUGGGGGAAACCCUGAUGCAGCAACGCCGCGUGAGUGAAGAAGUAUUUCGGUAUGUAAAGCUCUAUCAGCAGGGAAGAUAAUGACGGUACCUGACUAAGAAGCUCCGGCUAAAUACGUGCCAGCAGCCGCGGUAAUACGUAUGGAGCAAGCGUUAUCCGGAUUUACUGGGUGUAAAGGGUGCGUAGGUGGCAGUGCAAGUCAGAUGUGAAAGGCCGGGGCUCAACCCCGGAGCUGCAUUUGAAACUGCUCGGCUAGAGUACAGGAGAGGCAGGCGGAAUUCCUAGUGUAGCGGUGAAAUGCGUAGAUAUUAGGAGGAACACCAGUGGCGAAGGCGGCCUGCUGGACUGUUACUGACACUGAGGCACGAAAGCGUGGGGAGCAAACAGGAUUAGAUACCCUGGUAGUCCACGCCGU